AUGAACACCUUCCUGAUGGCGCCAUUCACAAGUGAUGAUGUUAAAAAAGCUAUUCAUAGUAUAGGAGAUCUAAAGGCUCCUGGCCCAUAUGGACUCCAUGCUAUUUUCUUCAAGAAGUAUUGGCAUAUACUUGGGGAAUAUAUUACUCAGGAAGUCUUGUAUGCCAUCAACUCUAGAAAGAUACCAACUAAUUGGAAUGAUACCACCAUUGUUAUGAUCCCAAAGACUGAAGCUCCUAAACUGGUAACCCAAUUUCAUCCCAUCAGUCUUUGUAAUGUUCUCUAUAAGAUUAUAUCCAAGAUGUUGGCUUCCCGUUUGAAAAAUAUUCUGCCUGAGAUUAUCUCUCCCACACAAAGUGCUCUUGUGCCUGGUAGGAUGAUCACUGAUAACAUUCUGAUAGCCUAUGAAUGUGUGCACAAAAUAAAAAAUAAAAGAACUGGUCAAACUGGACUUUGUGCUGUUAAGUUGGACAUGCAUAAGGCCUAUGACAGGGUGGAAUGGUCUUUUUUGAGAGAUAUGAUGAUCACCUUGGGAUCACGACAUUGGAUUGAGGUGAUGAUGACACGUGUGAGCUCAGUAAAAUAUAAAGUUAGGUUCAACUCUCAGGAGACGGAUUCUUUUAUUCCCACCAGAGGUAUUAGACAAGGGGACCCGCUUUCCCCUUAUUUAUUCCUCCUUUGUGGAGAAGGUCUCCCCAGUCUAUUGGAGUAUGAAGAAGAAGCUGGUGGCAUAGAGGGAAUUAGAGUGUGCAGGAAUGCAUCGUCAGUAUCGCACCUUUUAUUCGCUGAUGAUUCUCUGAUUCAAAUGAAAGCAAAUAUUCUAAAUGCAGCUUCCUUACAGCAUGUUCCGCAAACCUACUAUCAAAGCUCAGGGCAACUAGUGAGUUUAUCUAAGUCAAGUGUAUUUUUUAGUCCUAACACCCCUGUCAUAUCUAGGACUGAAAUCUGCCAAUAAUUACACAUUGAUACUGAAGCUCUAUCUAAUAAAUAUCUAGGACUCCCGGCAUUGGUUGGGGCUGAUAGGCAUGACUGUUUUAGACAAUUAUAUGAAAGAAUUAAAGAAAGAUUAAAAGGAUGGAUGGAAAAGCAACUUUCAAGGGGGGAAGAAAAACUCCUUAAAGCUGUAGCCCAGGCCAUCCCAGUUUUUGCCAUGUCUGUUUUUUGCUUACCUAAGGGCGCAUGGAAAGACAUCACUGAUCUAAUUGCCCAAUUUUGGUUGGGGUGA
This 1224-nucleotide ribosomal RNA is filed under the name Triticum aestivum (bread wheat). RNAcentral describes it as "partial small subunit ribosomal RNA". The record is from RNAcentral. Lineage: Eukaryota; Viridiplantae; Streptophyta; Magnoliopsida; Poales; Poaceae.